UACGGAAGAUGCGAGCGUUAUCCGGAUUUAUUGGGUUUAAAGGGAGUGUAGGCGGGACCUUAAGCCUGCGGUAAAAUGCCGGUGCCCAACAUCGGCCCGCCGUGGGAACUGGGGACCUUGAAUGUGCACAAGGUGGAUGGAAUUCGUGGUGUAGCGGUGAAAUGCUUAGAUAUCACGAAGAACUCCGAUUGCGAGGGCAGUCCACUGGGGCAUGAUUGACGCUGAGGCUCGAAAGUGCGGGAAUCAAACA
RNAcentral lists this ribosomal RNA (250 nucleotides) under uncultured prokaryote. Its description in RNAcentral is "partial 16S ribosomal RNA". It matches the Rfam family "Bacterial small subunit ribosomal RNA", at positions 524 to 774 of the family's 1533-position model. The record is from RNAcentral.